Molecule: ribosomal RNA, 481 nt
Filed under: Klebsiella pneumoniae
Lineage: Bacteria; Pseudomonadati; Pseudomonadota; Gammaproteobacteria; Enterobacterales; Enterobacteriaceae
Description: bacterial SSU rRNA
Rfam family: Bacterial small subunit ribosomal RNA
Source: RNAcentral
AGAGUUUGAUCAUGGCUCAGAUUGAACGCUGGCGGCAGGCCUAACACAUGCAAGUCGAGCGGUAGCACAGAGAGCUUGCUCUCGGGUGACGAGCGGCGGACGGGUGAGUAAUGUCUGGGAAACUGCCUGAUGGAGGGGGAUAACUACUGGAAACGGUAGCUAAUACCGCAUAAUGUCGCAAGACCAAAGUGGGGGACCUUCGGGCCUCAUGCCAUCAGAUGUGCCCAGAUGGGAUUAGCUAGUAGGUGGGGUAACGGCUCACCUAGGCGACGAUCCCUAGCUGGUCUGAGAGGAUGACCAGCCACACUGGAACUGAGACACGGUCCAGACUCCUACGGGAGGCAGCAGUGGGGAAUAUUGCACAAUGGGCGCAAGCCUGAUGCAGCCAUGCCGCGUGUGUGAAGAAGGCCUUCGGGUUGUAAAGCACUUUCAGCGGGGAGGAAGGCGGUAAGGUUAAUAACCUUGGCGAUUGACGUUACCC